RNAcentral lists this ribosomal RNA (843 nucleotides) under Clostridioides difficile. Its description in RNAcentral is "partial 23S ribosomal RNA". It matches the Rfam family "Bacterial large subunit ribosomal RNA", at positions 683 to 1532 of the family's 2925-position model. Lineage: Bacteria; Bacillati; Bacillota; Clostridia; Peptostreptococcales; Peptostreptococcaceae. The record is from RNAcentral.
UUUAACUGAGCGUUCAGUUACUUGACGUAGACCCGAAACCGGGCGACCUACCCAUGAGCAGGAUGAAGCGAAAGUAAAAUUUCGUGGAGGUCCGAACCCACGAGCGUUGAAAAGCUCGGGGAUGACUUGUGGGUAGCGGUGAAAUUCCAAUCGAGCCCGGAGAUAGCUGGUUCUCCCCGAAAUAGCUUUAGGGCUAGCCUCAAGGUGAGAGAUACGGAGGUAGAGCACUGAAUGUCCUAGGGGGUAUUGCACCUACCGAAGACUAUCAAACUCCGAAUGCCGUCAUCUUAUACUUGGGAGUCAGACUGUGGGUGAUAAGAUUCAUAGUCGAAAGGGCAACAGCCCAGAUCGUCAGCUAAGGUCCCUAAAUGUAAGUUAAGUGGUAAAGGAUGUGGGAUUGCACAGACAACCAGGAUGUUGGCUUAGAAGCAGCCACUCAUUCAAAGAGUGCGUAAUAGCUCACUGGUCGAGUGAUCCUGCGCCGAAGAUUUCCGGGGCUAAAACUUACUACCGAAGCUACGGCAUCAGUAAUGAUGGGUAGGGGAGCUUCCCAUACGGGUUGAAGCAUGACCGUAAGGACAUGUGGACAGUAUGGGAGUGAGAAUGUUGGCAUGAGUAGCGAGAUGUGGGUGAGAAUCCCACAGGCCGUAAACCCAAGGUUUCCAGGGGAAGGUUCGUCCGCCCUGGGUUAGUCGGGACCUAAGCUGAGGCCGAAAGGCGUAGGUGAUGGACAACAGGUUGAUAUUCCUGUACUACCGAUAACCGUUUGAGAGAAGGGAUGACACAGUAGGAUAAGCUAAGCACACUGUUGGUUAUGUGUGCCCAAGCAUUGAGGCAGUCAAA